UGGAAAGCCAUUGCGUCUGAACUAGUUCAGGCACCACAUCCUCCUCAAUCAAUGUCGGCGAUCUCCAAUGACCAAUUUAACAGCCUCAUCCAGCAUGUGUAGUCCUUGAUUGUUAUGGUACAAGGAAUGUAACAGAUUGCUAUAGCCUAGCUUGCAUUAGAUGCUUCGCAUUGAGAUCAAGCUAGAUUGGCAAUCCAACACUCACCUCUUCGUAGUCUAACGUGGGAGAUAGUCGACACAACCAAUCUGCGAGCUCUAAUCGAGGACAAC
Molecule: long non-coding RNA, 270 nt
Filed under: Elaeis guineensis (African oil palm)
Lineage: Eukaryota; Viridiplantae; Streptophyta; Magnoliopsida; Arecales; Arecaceae
Description: long non-coding RNA (EGUI_LNC033194)
Source: RNAcentral